RNAcentral lists this ribosomal RNA (1496 nucleotides) under metagenome. RNAcentral's name for it is "bacterial SSU rRNA". It matches the Rfam family "Bacterial small subunit ribosomal RNA". The record is from RNAcentral.
CAGGAUUAACGCUGGCGGCGCGCCUAACACAUGCAAGUCGUACGAGACUCCUUGAACAGCGGCUUCGGCCAAUGGGAUAGGAUGUUCUAGUGGCGAACGGGUGAGUAACACGUGGGUAAUCUACCUCCACCACAGAAAUAACCUCGAGAAAUCGAGGCUAAUGUCCGAUAGUAUCCUGUUACUUUGGUUUCAGGAUUAUAAAGGUUGAGAGUAAUCUCAGCUGGAUGGAGAUGAGCCCGCGACCUAUUAGCUUGUUGGUAGGGUAAUGGCCUACCAAGGCAACGAUGGGUAGCCGAUUUGAGAGGAUGUACGGCCACACUGGGAUUGAGAUACGGCCCAGACUCCUACGGGAGGCAGCAGUGGGGAAUUUUGGACAAUGGGGGAAACCCUGAUCCAGCGACGCCGCGUGAGGGAUGAAGGCUUUCGAGUCGUAAACCUCUGUCAGAGAGGACGAUAUUGACGGUACUCUCAGAGGAAGCCACGGCUAACUCCGUGCCAGCAGCCGCGGUAAUACGGGGGUGGCAAGCGUUAUCCGGAUUUACUGGGCGUAAAGGGCGUGUAGGUCUCUCUAUAAGUCUGAUGUGAAAUCUUUCCGCUUAACGGAAAAACGGCAUACGAAACUGUAGGGAUUGAGUACAGGAGAGGAGAGUGGAAUUCCUGGUGUAGCGGUGACAUGCGUAGAUAUCAGGAGGAACACCGGUGGCGAAGGCGACUCUCUGGCCUGAUACUGACACUGAGACGCGAAAGCUAGGGGAGCAAACAGGAUUAGAUACCCUGGUAGUCCUAGCCGUAAACGAUGCUCACUAGGUGUAGGAGGUGUUAAUUCCUUCUGUGCCGCAGCUAACGCAUUAAGUGAGCCGCCUGGGGAGUACGACCGCAAGGUUGAAACUCAAAGGAAUUGACGGGGGCCCGCACAAGCGGUGGAGCAUGUGGUUCAAUUCGACGCUACGCGAGAAACCUUACCGGAAUUUGACAUCCUGAUGAUCGUCCCGGAAACGGGAUUUCCCUUCGGGGCAUCAGGACAGGUGGUGCAUGGCUGUCGUCAGCUCGUGUCGUGAGAUGUUGGGUUAAGUCCCGCAACGAGCGCAACCCCUACUCUUAGUUGCCAGCUGGUAAUGCUGGGCACUCUAGGAGAACUGCCCCGGACAACGGGGAGGAAGGUGGGGAUGACGUCAAGUCCUCAUGCCCCUUAUAUUCCGGGCUACACACGUGCUACAAUGAUCGGUACAGAGGGUUGCCAAUCCGCGAGGAGUAGCCAAUCCCUAAAAGCCGAUCUCAGUUCGGAUUGAAGGCUGAAAUUCGCCUUCAUGAAGCUGGAAUCGCUAGUAAUGGCGCAUCAGCACGGCGCCGUGAAUACGUUCCCGGGCCUUGUACACACCGCCCGUCACACCAACCGAGUUGGGUGUACCCGAAGUCGUUUUCCUAACUCUUGCUUUCAGUAGGAGAUGGAGACGCCUAAGGUAUGUCUGGUAAGGGGGGUGAAGUCGUAACAAGGU